GGACGGCUCAGUAACACGUGGCUAACCUACCCUCGGGUGGGGGAUAACCUCGGGAAACUGAGGAUAAUACCCCAUAGGAGAAGAGGUCUGGAAUGAUCCUUCUCUGAAAACAUAUGUGCCCGAGGAUGGGGCUGCGUCUGAUUAGGUAAUUGGUGGGGUAACGGCCCACCAAGCCUACGAUCAGUACGGGCCUUGAGAGAGGCAGCCCGGAGAUGGGGACUGAGACACGGCCCCAGGCCCUACGGGGCGCAGCAGGCGCGAAACCUCCGCAAUGCACGAAAGUGCGACGGGGGGACCCCAAGUGCUUACGCACUGCGUAGGCUUUUCUAAAGUGUAAAAAGCUUUAGGAAUAAGGGCUGGGCAAGUCCGGUGCCAGCAGCCGCGGUAACACCGGCGGCCCGAGUGGUGACCACUUUUAUUGGGCCUAAAGCGUCCGUAGCCGGUCCAGUAAGUCCCUGUUUAAAUCCUACGGCUUAACCGUAGGGCUGGCAGGGAUACUGCUGGACUUGGGACCGGGAGAGGGCGAGGGUACUUCAGGGGUAGCGGUGAAAUGUGUAGAUCCCUGGAGGACCACCUAUGGCGAAGGCACUCGCCUGGAAC
Molecule: ribosomal RNA, 600 nt
Filed under: uncultured archaeon
Lineage: Archaea
Description: bacterial SSU rRNA
Rfam family: Archaeal small subunit ribosomal RNA
Source: RNAcentral